UAAAAAAAAAUAAAUAAAAAAAAAGAAAGAAAACAUAAACCCCAACACCAAAAUCAUUAAUAAAAACCGUAAUUACUUAAAUACAUGUCACCAGAAGCUCAAAAAUCAAAACUUCACAAAUAUUCAUAGUUCAAAUAAGACAGAAUACCUCCUUUUCUUUUUUUUGUGAGAACCAGACAUAAUACAAAUUACAAUAUUAUAUGAAACGAUUAGUAUGUCAAUAGGAGCAACACCGAUAAACAUAAAUUAGCCAUAUCUCCGAAAACCGUUCACAUAGAUUCUUACAAGCCAAUCAUGGAUUCAAACCCCUACACCUGCAUACCCACCUCUCAACAUUCAAAAUACAAAUUCACAAUUGAGAAUUUACACUGCCAAACAAUAUAUAUAAAGACUAAAGAGAAAAACCAUGGAAAAGCUAUCUCUGAUUAGAGGUGGAAUAGUCCAAUCGCUAGUUUCCUGAAAACAAAAUCACAAAAAUCUCAAAAUUCAUAGUACGAAUCAGUUGAUUGAACAAUCAAUAGCUAAAUAAACGGAUAGAUGGUGAAUAGAAAGAGUACCAUCUCCUUGGAAAGAGGGCCUGCACAAUGAUGGCAUCGCAAUUUGCUUUGAAGGUUCGAUUCCGAAUCCGCCAUGCCUAAACACCUUCACAAAACAACCCUCUACGAAGAGACCCGGUGGCGCUUACCGUAAUACUGUUUCGGCUCUU
Molecule: unclassified non-coding RNA, 706 nt
Filed under: Hevea brasiliensis (rubber tree)
Lineage: Eukaryota; Viridiplantae; Streptophyta; Magnoliopsida; Malpighiales; Euphorbiaceae
Source: RNAcentral